RNAcentral lists this ribosomal RNA (277 nucleotides) under uncultured Rivularia sp. RNAcentral's name for it is "partial 16S ribosomal RNA". It matches the Rfam family "Bacterial small subunit ribosomal RNA", at positions 28 to 334 of the family's 1533-position model. Lineage: Bacteria; Bacillati; Cyanobacteriota; Cyanophyceae; Nostocales; Rivulariaceae. The record is from RNAcentral.
GAUGAACGCUGGCGGCGUGCCUAACACAUGCAAGUCGAACGGUCUCUUCGGAGAUAGUGGCGGACGGGUGAGUAACGCGUGAGAAUCUGCCUUUAGGUUCGGGACAACAGUUGGAAACGACUGCUAAUACCGAAUGUGUCGCAAGAUGAAAGAUUAAUUGCCUAAAGAUGAGCUCGCGUCUGAUUAGCUAGUUGGUGAGGUAAAAGCUUACCAAGGCGACGAUCAGUAGCUGGUCUGAGAGGAUGAUCAGCCACAUUGGGACUGAGACACGGCCCAA